CAUGGAUAGCAUUAGGACAUUAGCUGGACGCUGGUAACUAGGAUGGUUACAACAAGGAAAGUUAAUGGACACUCAAGGGACAGAGGAUUAGCUGUUAGGAAGACAGCACAAAGGACACCGCUUUAGGACGAAGCGAAGAGAGUUAACUAGGAUAGUUAACGGGCUGGAUUGCCGAGGACACCGCUAGGAAGGCGACGUUAAGGAAAGUGCUGAAGGAAUCAGCGUACUAUCACGGAUUAGAUGCAUGGAGCACUGCAAGUAGCCGGAAUGCUGCGAGUAAGAAUAAACCCCACUAAGCGAAAGCUUAGUGGGGUUUUCUUUUAUG
This 325-nucleotide non-coding RNA is filed under the name Vibrio aquimaris. The record is from RNAcentral. Lineage: Bacteria; Pseudomonadati; Pseudomonadota; Gammaproteobacteria; Vibrionales; Vibrionaceae.